UGGGGAAUAUUGCACAAUGGGGGAAACCCUGAUGCAGCGACGCCGCGUGGGGGAUGACGGCCUUCGGGUUGUAAACCUCUUUCAGUAGGGAAGAAGCCUUUGGGUGACGGUACCUGCAGAAGAAGUACCGGCUAACUACGUGCCAGCAGCCGCGGUAAUACGUAGGGUACAAGCGUUGUCCGGAAUUAUUGGGCGUAAAGAGCUCGUAGGUGGUCUGUCACGUCUGCUGUGGAAACGCAAGGCUCAACCUUGCGCGUGCAGUGGGUACGGGCGGACUAGAGUGCAGUAGGGGAGUCUGGAAUUCCUGGUGUAGCGGUGAAAUGCGCAGAUAUCAGGAGGAACACCGGUGGCGAAGGCGGGACUCUGGGCUGUAACUGACGCUGAGGAGCGAAAGCAUGGGGAGCGAACA
This 409-nucleotide ribosomal RNA is filed under the name uncultured bacterium. Its description in RNAcentral is "partial 16S ribosomal RNA". It matches the Rfam family "Bacterial small subunit ribosomal RNA", at positions 355 to 774 of the family's 1533-position model. The record is from RNAcentral.